This 257-nucleotide unclassified non-coding RNA is filed under the name Hevea brasiliensis (rubber tree). The record is from RNAcentral. Lineage: Eukaryota; Viridiplantae; Streptophyta; Magnoliopsida; Malpighiales; Euphorbiaceae.
UAUAUUCAAGUUUUAUUUUCUAAUAUCGAUUAGUAACUUAUUUAACAAUUAAUUAUAGAUCCGUUGCUAUUAACAACCGAUUGAGCAAUUUAUUCUUGAAUUGGUUGCUAAAUUUAAAAAAAAAUAACUAUUUUACUAAAAAAAAAUUAAAAUCUUAAAUUGAUUGUUAAUAACAAUCAAUUUCAGUUAGUUACAAAAGUAAUUAUUUUUUUUAGUGAUAUUGUAACUUUUUAUAUUUUUAAGGGCAUUCAAUUUUG